GCGAUCUGCAGGUUGUCGAGGAUGGAGGUACUGACACCGCGGCUACCUAGGCAUUGACGAGAUCUUGGAGUAGUGGGAUGUUUCUGAGUCAUCCGGAGUCACCGCCUAUGACCUCUGUCUCCACGGAUCAGUUAAGUGAACAUCAGAUUGUUGUGGUCUGCCUGUCGUGGUGAUGUCUGCCCUACAGAGCUCACAGUAGAGGUUGUGGCACUCCUCUCUUCGGGCAGUUUGUUUCAUCUUAUACCUCCAAGAUCCCCCUUGCUCAUUUGUGUAAAGUUUGUCAUCUGGUUCCCUCCACCAAUUUGUAAUUUUUUAAUUUUAUUUCAAAUGACACACUGCUCCUUUAGUAUGCCUGAAAGCAGAGUCCUGGGACCCAGUGGCAGGAAGCGUCGAGUACUGCCACACCUGCUGGGAAGCACAGUCGUGGUGCACCCUGCCCGCUGGGACACCUGAGAGAUGAAAUAGCAAUAUAAGAUUUACGAACACACCAGCUCCCUGAGGAACCUAUCUUGACCAGAAGGCCACCCACUGCAGGGUUCCAUUUUUAAUUCACUUGUUGCAAGUUAGGCGGGGUUCCCACUCUUCUGUUUUGAUGGAUCUGUCGACGUUAAUGACAUCCACUUGACACGGAUGAUCCACUCCGUCAGUCCAUUGCUCAUCAUUUCUUGACUAAACAUAUGGACAUCAUUAACCACAAUGACUUCUUGUAUAUGUUAUUUUGUAGCUAAGUACUUCUAUUUCAUAUUUUCAUAUGUAGAAUAUUCAGAAUCACUGGACUGGCACCCCAACCCCAGAACCAAAAGUUAACUAGUUUAUCUCUGGACGGGCUCCAUUGAUGACGUCACUGAUGGUCGACGGAUCCAUGAAAACGGAACAGUGAGAACCCCGCCUUGCUUGGUACUGUCUCUGAAGUGUCUUGAACAAUAAACAUUUGAAGGGAACA
Molecule: long non-coding RNA, 943 nt
Organism: Eriocheir sinensis (Chinese mitten crab)
Lineage: Eukaryota; Metazoa; Arthropoda; Malacostraca; Decapoda; Varunidae
Exons: 3
Source: RefSeq, a predicted model, not a curated record